This 253-nucleotide ribosomal RNA is filed under the name uncultured bacterium. RNAcentral's name for it is "partial 16S ribosomal RNA". It matches the Rfam family "Bacterial small subunit ribosomal RNA", at positions 524 to 776 of the family's 1533-position model. The record is from RNAcentral.
UACGUAGGGGGCGAGCGUUGUCCGGAUUUAUUGGGCGUAAAGCGUGCGCAGGCGGUUAUGUAAGACAGUUGUGAAAUCCCCGGGCUCAACCUGGGAACUGCAUCUGUGACUGCAUAGCUAGAGUACGGUAGAGGGGGAUGGAAUUCCGCGUGUAGCAGUGAAAUGCGUAGAUAUGCGGAGGAACACCGAUGGCGAAGGCAAUCCCCUGGGCCUGCACUGACGCUCAUGCACGAAAGCGUGGGGAGCAAACAGG